AAGUCGUAACAAGGUUUCCGUAGGUGAACCUGCGGAAGGAUCAUUCAUGUGAUUUCUAAAAAACACAACCCAACCUCUUGUUUACUUAGCAUUAAUGACUGCUUGCUUUUUUUCAUAUAUGGUUUUAUGUUUUUGUUGGCUGCUAUUUUCUAUUUUCUGAGGGGUUUUUGUUAGCUGCUUUGUCUGAAUUGCAACCGAUAAAAACUCUCUAGUGAAAAAAUGAAAAAUGCUACCUAAUGAUUUACCAAGAGUUUUCAUACAAAAUAACUUGCCAAAAACAAAGAAAAUUUGUAAAAUGUUUAUUACAACUUUUAACGAUGGAUCCCUCGGCUCUCA
This 336-nucleotide unclassified non-coding RNA is filed under the name fungal sp. Its description in RNAcentral is "partial internal transcribed spacer region". The stretch from base 1 to 46 matches the Rfam family "Eukaryotic small subunit ribosomal RNA", at positions 1786 to 1831 of the family's 1831-position model. The record is from RNAcentral. Lineage: Eukaryota; Fungi.